GACGAACGCUGGCGGCGUGCUUAACACAUGCAAGUCGAACGAUGAAGCUGGAGCUUGCUCUGGCGGAUUAGUGGCGAACGGGUGAGUAACACGUGAGAAAUCUGCCCUUGACUCUGGGAUAACUGCGGGAAACUGUAGCUAAUACCGGAUACUUUCCCUGGUGGGCAUCCACUGGGGAAGAAAGAAUUUCGGUCAAGGAUGAUCUCGCGGCCUAUCAGCUUGUUGGUGAGGUAAUGGCUCACCAAGGCGACGACCGGUAGCCGGCCUGAGAUGGUGACCGGCCACACUGGGACUGAGACACUGCCCAGACUCCUACGGGGGGCAGCAGUGGGGAAUAUUGCACAAUGGGCGCAAGCCUGAUGCAGCAACGCCGCGUGAGGGAUGAAGGCCUUCGGGUUGUAAACCUCUUUUAGCAGGGAAGAAGCGAAAGUGACGGUACCUGCAGAAAAAGCACCGGCUAACUACGUGCCAGCCGCCGCCGUAA
RNAcentral lists this ribosomal RNA (484 nucleotides) under uncultured bacterium. RNAcentral's name for it is "partial 16S ribosomal RNA". It matches the Rfam family "Bacterial small subunit ribosomal RNA", at positions 28 to 523 of the family's 1533-position model. The record is from RNAcentral.